Molecule: long non-coding RNA, 1094 nt
Organism: Homarus americanus (American lobster)
Lineage: Eukaryota; Metazoa; Arthropoda; Malacostraca; Decapoda; Nephropidae
Exons: 3
Source: RefSeq, a predicted model, not a curated record
GCCAAAACCAACUCCAAAGCCAACCCCAAAGGCAACGCCAAAACCAACUCCAAAGCCAACGCCAAAACCAACCCCAAAAGCCACUCAGAAACCAACUCCCAAAAAGCUAGAACCGGCAAAACAACCUCUGCCUCCCGGUGCAAUAUUUCACGCACACAACAGGAAACCUGAAGCUACCGUAGCUACGCUGACGAAGGCUGUAACAGAGAGCAAGCAGAACCAACACCUCGACACUGUUCAGAAUCAAUUCCCAGCGAGGGCUGCCAACAUACACUCAGGCGGGAAUUCUCUGUCGACCCACACCAAGGUUAUCCUCGUAUCGUUGUCCAUCAUCACUAUUGCUCUCACCGUCACCGUUAUUGGCGUCUGGUUCAGGAGAAUAAACCUGUACACCGCGCGGUACGGGAGACACACACUGCUGGAGGAGAACGACGAAGAAUUUGGCGUCUUCAACCGACUCACUUACAACUCAUAUGAUGACAACUCCUACGAGUCAUGGAAGAAUCACACCUACUGAACCCCCGGGCAUGUUUACCAAGUCUGACAUCAUAAUAGCACCAUAGAUAUUUACGUCAUAUGGAAAGAUUUGGUUAGGUUGCAGGAGUAGCCAGAGUUAUUACUUCACAAUGCAGUACGCGACUUGGCCAAUCAGAUUGAAGUAUUUGUUUAUGUUAAUGAGUGAAGCUUCUUUUAAUUGUUCAUGGCUUUGGAAGGUUCAUACCCGCCAUAUACAAGUGAAGAAAGUCAAACAGAUAACUCGACCAGUGAUACCAACUUCCAAAAUUCAUAAAGUGAAGCAUUUUAUUUAUUCAGAUGUCGACAAAUAUUAGGAAAGAAGCAAAAAUCCAAAAUGCCUAACUACAGACAAGAUAUAUCACCAUAGUCUUAGAUUUUAUCAUCAGAAAGUGUUUCAAACAUACACUUUCAACAUCAAUAGUAAAACAAGAUUAAUUUACAAAGUACUGUACAUAAAAACACAGAGAAAAAAGUCUUCCAAGUCACUACGCACUAAGGCUAUACGUUUAAGUGUUGAUAUGUGAACUAGUUAAGUAAGUAAUGUUAAUUUGUAUCUACAGUAUAUGUAUUUUUCGUCA